GCCCAAUUGGCGCAAUGGUUAGCGCAUUCGACUGUAUGUUUUCUUCGGUUACUUCAGAUAUGCUCACUCAAACUAACAAUUCCCAGUCUAUCUUGACUCCUCCACAAGGAUGGUUGUCUGAGGUGAUCGAAAGGUUGCGAGUUCGAGUCUCGCAUUGGGUU
This 161-nucleotide transfer RNA is filed under the name Fusarium vanettenii 77-13-4. RNAcentral's name for it is "tRNA-Tyr for anticodon GUA". It matches the Rfam family "tRNA". Rfam says of the family: Transfer RNA (tRNA) molecules are approximately 80 nucleotides in length. Their secondary structure includes four short double-helical elements and three loops (D, anti-codon, and T loops). Further hydrogen bonds mediate the characteristic L-shaped molecular structure. tRNAs have two regions of fundamental functional importance: the anti-codon, which is responsible for specific mRNA codon recognition, and the 3' end, to which the tRNAs corresponding amino acid is attached (by aminoacyl-tRNA synthetases). tRNAs cope with the degeneracy of the genetic code in two manners: having more than one tRNA (with a specific anti-codon) for a particular amino acid; and 'wobble' base-pairing, i.e. permitting non-standard base-pairing at the 3rd anti-codon position. Lineage: Eukaryota; Fungi; Ascomycota; Sordariomycetes; Hypocreales; Nectriaceae. The record is from Rfam by way of RNAcentral.